GAUGAACGCUGACAGAAUGCUUAACACAUGCAAGUCAACUGUGGCGGACGGGUGAGUAACGCUUAAAUAAAUUACCUUACAGAUAGGGUCAACAUUUGGAAACGAAUGCUAAUACCCGGUAAUGUGGGAGAGUUUUGCGUCACAUUAGCUAGUUGGAGCGGUAACGCCUCAACAAGCCGAUGAUGGGUAGCCGGCCUGAAAGGGUGAUCGGCCACAAGGGGAAUGGAACACGGCGCUUAAUGCGAAGGCAGGAAGCAGUGGGGAAUAGUGGACAAUGGACCAAAGUCUGAUCCGGCAAUUCUGUGUGCAGAAUGAAGUAUUCGGAAUGUAAAUUACUUUCAGUUAGGAAGUGGAACCAACAGAAGAAGAGACAGCUAAAGACGUGCCAGCAGCCGCGGUAAUGC
Molecule: ribosomal RNA, 404 nt
Filed under: uncultured bacterium
Lineage: Bacteria
Description: partial 16S ribosomal RNA
Rfam family: Bacterial small subunit ribosomal RNA
Source: RNAcentral